This 446-nucleotide ribosomal RNA is filed under the name uncultured Gammaproteobacteria bacterium. RNAcentral describes it as "bacterial SSU rRNA". It matches the Rfam family "Bacterial small subunit ribosomal RNA", at positions 1085 to 1532 of the family's 1533-position model. The record is from RNAcentral. Lineage: Bacteria; Pseudomonadati; Pseudomonadota; Gammaproteobacteria.
UCCGUACGAGCGCAACCCUUGUCCUUAGUUGCUAGCAGGUAAUGCUGAGAACUCUAAGGAGACUGCCGGUGACAAACCGGAGGAAGGUGGGGACGACGUCAAGUCAUCAUGGCCCUUAUGGGCAGGGCUACACACGUGCUACAAUGGCCGGUACAGAGGGCAGCGAAGCCGCGAGGUGGAGCGAAUCUCAGAAAACCGGUCGUAGUCCGGAUUGCAGUCUGCAACUCGACUGCAUGAAGCCGGAAUCGCUAGUAAUCGCGGAUCAGAACGCCGCGGUGAAUACGUUCCCGGGCCUUGUACACACCGCCCGUCACACCAUGGGAGUGGGUUGCUCCAGAAGUAGGUAGCUUAACCUUAGGGAGGGCGCUUACCACGGAGUGAUUCAUGACUGGGGUGAAGUCGUAACAAGGUAGCCCUAGGGGAACCUGGGGCUGGAUCACCUCCUU